RNAcentral lists this transfer-messenger RNA (339 nucleotides) under bacterium. It matches the Rfam family "transfer-messenger RNA". Rfam says of the family: Bacterial tmRNA, also known as 10Sa RNA or SsrA, is named for its dual tRNA and mRNA-like properties. Its role is to liberate the mRNA from a stalled ribosome. The record is from RNAcentral.
GGGGGCGACUGGUCUCGACAGGGACAGCGAACCCGUUGAGGCGCACGCCGGGGAGCCGUCACCCCGCGAAAAGACGGCAAAGACAACUGCCGAAAAGGCAUACGCUUACGCCUAACUGAGGCGUAGGUCUCCUGGGAGAGCCCCCCGGACUCCCCAGAGAGGCCUCAUAAAUCCGGGGUCGUCGGACCCCUUGCCCCGUGGGUCCGGCUAAACAAAGGGGCGAAACCUUCCGGGAGGCUCGCUCGCCCGGCCCCGGAAGGAAAACAGGGCGGGCUAAGCGUGUAGGGGCCUUGCGGGUUGGGUCUCUGGACGGGGGUUCGAAUCCCCCCGCCUCCAUAA